UAAUGACACACGGCAGUGAAUGGAAUAGUUUCUCCUCGCUUUCUGGUUGUUGACGGUGGUUUUGUCAUUCCAAAGCUUGAAUGAGAUCAUCGGCAGAGACAUGUCCCAGUCCCCUGGUGGCGGUGCCCAGUCGUAGCGCUUUCCGUGGCCAGGCCUCCACACACCCAGCUGGGCAUAGCAGUGUCCUCACCAGCCCCAACACCACCACCUCCACCACAGGACUUUACCUGCCUCUAGGCAGGACAGACUGGGCUGAGAUUCCCCUUUACACUUCAUGGCCCUACCAGUCCACAAAAAGACCCUCCAGACACACAUGAACAAACCUUUCAUAUACCCACAUGGCAGCAAAAAAGCUCAGAUUCACCCACCUACACAUGUAUACAUCAGAUUAUAAACAGGAGAACACCACAGGGUGGUGACAAACUAGGAUUAUUGGGGUCAGUGAGUGGCAGAAAGACGAGGAACAUGUUCUCUGUUCAGUUGACUUCGGGUUCAUUUUUAGCAUUAGUUCUCAGUCCUGGGCUCAGAUACCCAGAGGUGAUCACUGGUUUAGAUAGUGAUCACCUCCUAAACGGUUUCUAUGCAGCUAAACUCUCUGUUCAGGGUGUUUGGUUGGAGUAUGUAAUAUACCCUCUCAAGUCACAAUGUUGUCCCUAACAGUGUAGUGUUCAGUGAGGAAAAAUAGGAUCCCUCAGUAGGAAUAAAGAAGGGUUGAAUACUGUACUCAUGAUUUUCUCACCAGCAUAGACCUCGACAGUACAAACACCCGGUUGGUUGAGCACCCCCUGGGAGUGUAGAGGUAGUACUGCAGCCCCACUGUGACACCCCAUCACCCUUGUCCUUCUUGUCGUCUCUGGUCUCUGGGUGCCUGGGAGCCCCUUCUCUUCUUCUCUGGUGCUGGACUGGGAUCUAUAAUAUGCAACAUUCCACACUUCUAGUGACCUUCCAGCCAUGUAGAUAUAGUGCCUUCAGAAAGUGUUCACACCCCUUGACUUUUUCCACAUUUUGUUGUGGUACAGCAUGAAUUUCAAAUAUAUUAAAUGUAGACGUUUUUGUCGCUGGCCUACACGCAAUAACCAAUAAUGUCAAAGUGGACUUGUGUUUUCAGAAUUGUUUAUAAAUUCAUAAAAAAUAAAAAGCUGAAAUGUCUUGAGUCAAUAAGUAUUCAACCCCUUUGUUAGGACAAACCUAAAUAAGUUCAGGAGUAAAAAUGUGCUGAACAAGUCACAUAAGUUGCAUGGACUCUCUGUGUGCAAUAAUAGUGUUCAACAUGAUUUUUGAAUGACUAUCUCAUCUCUGUACCCCACCCAUAAAAUGAUCUGUCAAGCAGUGAAUUUCAAACACAGAUUCAACCACAAAGACCAGGGAGUUUUUCCAAUGCCUCGCAAAGGGCACCUAUUGGUAAAUAGGUUUUUAAAAAAGCAGAUAUUGAGCAUAUCCCUUUGAGCAUGGAGAAGUUAUUAAUUAUAUUUUAGAUGGUGUAUCAAUACACCCAGUCACUACAAAGAUACAGGCGUCCUUCCUAACUCAGUUGCCAGAGAGGAAGGAAACGGCUUAGGGAUUUCACCAUGAGGCCAAUGGUCACUUUAAAACAGUUACAGAAUUUAAUGUCUGUGAUAGGAGAAAACAGGAUGAAUCAACAACAUUGUAGUUACUCCACAAUACUAACCUAAUUGACAGAGUGAUAAGAAGGAAGCCUGUACAGAAUACAAAUAUUCCAAAACAUGCAUCCUGUUUGCAACAAGGCACUAAAGUAAUACACAAAAACAUUUGGCAAAGCGAUUAACUUUUUGUUCUGAGUACAAAGUGUUAUGUACUCUCCAUGUGUUCAAGCAUAGUGAUGGCUGCAUCAUGUUAUGUGUAUGCUUGUAAUCGAUAAGGACUGGAGAUAUUUUUAAAUUAAACAAUAAGCAGAAUGGAGCACAGGCAAAAUUCUAGAGGGAAAUUUGGUUCAUUCUGCUUUCCACCAGACACUGGGAGGUGAAUUCACUUUUCAGCAGGACAAUAACUUAAAACACAAGGCCUAAUCUACACUGAAGUUGCUUACCAAGAAGACAGUGGAUGUUCCUGAUUGGCCAAAUUACAAUUUUGACUUAAAUCUGCUUGAAAAUCUAUGGCAAGACCUGAAAAUGGUUGUCUACCUAUGAUCAACAUCCAAUUUGACAGAGCUUGAAGAAUUUAAUGGGCAAAUGUUUCACAAUCCAGGUGUGCAAAGCUCUUAGAGACUUACCCAGAAAGACUCACAGCUCUAAUCACUGCUUAAGGUGCUUCUAUAAAGUAUUGACUCAGGGGUGUGAAUACUUAUGUAAAUGAGAUUUCUGUAUUUCAUUUUCAAUAAAUUAGCAAACAUUUAUAAAAACAUGUUUUUACUGUCAUUAUGGGUUAUUGUGUGUAGAUGGUUGAGAUGUAAAAAAAUAUAUAUUUAAUCAAUUGUACCACAACAAAAGGUGGAAUAAGUCCAAGGGUAUGAAUACCUUCUGAAGCCACUGUAUCUGUGUAUUAUUACUACUCUCCUCCUGACUCCCCAAACCUCCUCUUUAGGUUGAACAAAUGCCUUUAUAAGCCUUGUUAAAUAGCAGCUUUGAAUGAUAGGAUGGUAAACACUUUUGUUGUUUGUUUGCACAGCUGACUCUUCAUGCAGAGUAUGACUUUGAUUUUUAUAGAAAUUAGAUGGAUUUCUGAGUUUGUGAUAUGGAGAGCUUGAUAUUCGAUGAAUAUAAUGUUUUAUGCGAUGGAUAGAUGAACACUGGUUUUCUCCAGACCGAGGUAGCCCAUUAAGACAAGUAAAUAUAUAUAUAUUUGUAACUGUAAGUAGACUCGUUGGAGUUUAAUUAAAGGUGGUGUUUGAAUUAUCCACAGAGCAAGACGGACCUGUGUUCCUCUGAGCUCUGUCAUGCAAUAACUAAAGUGCGUCUGAAAUGGCACCUUAUUCCCUGUAUAGUGCACUACUUUUGGCCAGCAUACUGGUCAAAAGUAGGGCACUAUACAGGGAAUCGGGUGUAAGUGUGGAUGCACACUAACUGUCUUGAUGUCCUGGGCCCAGUUUUUCAAAACUUUUAAUCUGGAUAAGAAUGAUCCGGAUCCUGUAAUCCUUUUUUGCAAUCAGGAUCAGAUUGAUCUGGCUGUUUUUGGGCCAGUUUUUCAGAAAAUAAUCAGACAGGAUCAUUCUGAUCCACAACAUGAAGAUCACAGAAUCCAGAUUGUCAGUGCUUUCAACAGGCCUACACCUUUCCAUCUAGUGGACAGGUUAUGGUACUACUACACUGUCAUAGGGAAACAGAGAUGAGUAAACUACAUGAAUAAAGGUAACUAUAUGACAAAUAAUAGAGCCAGCAUAUCACCUAUAGGUAAGUACAUGCAUUUAUUUCACACUUCUCAAUAUAACAACUGACCACACACUUAAUACUGCUGUCAAUUUAACGUAAUGAACCUUUCCUUUUCAGAUGUAAGAAUGUUUUUAGUUACAUUGAAAUGUAUUGGUUGUGGUGCUUUUCACCUUUCUAAAUCCACCCUGAAUACACCCUUCCAGUGGGAUCAAGAUAAUCCAGAUUUUAGGCAUCAAAACUAUCAUCAUCACUACCUUUUAGGAGUAAAAAAAAAUGCAAAAACUACAUUUAAUCCCGAUUUAAUGGUCAGAUUGAAUUACCAAAUCUGGAGGAUCAGAAUAAUUUUGUUUUCUUUUGAAAAACCCAAUUCUAUCAUGUCAUUUUAUCCGAUUGCAGAAAUCCGAUCAGAUAACUUUUGAAAAACUGGGCCCAGAGACUCUGCCUUCAACUUUGUAACAACCAUACCUUCUGAGGGUAAAGCAGCUUCAAUCCACAUACUAUUGGAAAUAAUAUAACACAUUGAAAACUGCAGAUUUAAACUGUUGAUAAAAGUAUUUUAUACAUAGUCAUUUAUAUAUAUUGUAUUUAUGUAUAGCCCCCCCUCCAUCACCUCUGAUGAACAAGGUUAAGUUUGUUUUAAAAAACGAUUUCCAUUUUUGUAUGUUGUUGGUUCUUCCAGGCCCCCUGUGUGUUGCACAUCACGACAAUCACGACAAAUGAUAAUUUUGUCUUCAGGGUGGUACCUUAACAAAAAUAUGUAUUUGUCAAUCUUCCUCCUUGGGGAGACAUACAGACUGCGAAUGUAUGGAAUAUUGAUAGCAAUAAUAAAAAGAUUUUCAGUUUGCCUGAGAAUUACAACAACAAAAGGUCCAAACAAAAUGACAAAGUUGAGUGUUAAAAAGCAACAUAUUCCAGUCCAACAUCAUCAUAAGGAUGUUUACAGAAUGUGAUUCUGAAUGCUGGAUAGAUGUAUGUACGUAUGUAUGCCAUACAUUACUUAGCCAUGCUGUAAUAUAACAUGUUGAUUGGUCUGGGUAGGAACAACUCCUAUUGCCUUAACAUGUUCUCUGUGAUUGGACAAUGAUAUAUGUAUAUUCUUGCAUGUACAUUUUUUUUCUCUGAGAGGAUGUUGCUAAUGACAACUGUCCAAGUCCAGUGAGAAAUAGAAAAUAAUUCUGUUAUACACAAAAAACCUGCCUGAUGCCUUUAAAAAAAAGUUUUAAAAACGUUUUAAAAAAGAACCUUGAUGCCUAUAGUUGUAGAUGCAGCAGAGAUGCUUGGUUCUGUUACUUCAAGGCUCCGUUUACACAGGUAGUCCAAUUCUGAUAUUUUUCUCACUAAUCAGAUCAGCUCUGAUAAAGUUCUGUGAUUGGUGUAAGAACCAAUUAGUGGACAAAUAUCAGAAUUGGGCUGCCUGUAUAAACACAGCCUUCUAGAGUAUCAGCACAAUACUUAUUAGUCCUGCAUACCAGAGGGCCAGUCAGUGAAUCUGCCUUGUAAAGGACACAGUACAAGCGUCUUAGUAGAUUAUAUUAAGUGUGUGUGUGUGUGUGUGGAUGUGUGCGUUUGUACCCAAUAAACUGUAGAUAAGUGUUUUUUUUUACAAUGAAUUUCAGUUCUGUACAAUACAAGCACACAUAUGUAUUAGGCUACUAUGCAAACCAUGACGAAAGCAUCAUGACAACGUGAUAUUUGGCAUCAAGUACAAAAUAACUGGUUUGUUUAUAAUAAUCUCUCGUGGUUUUUGUUUUAUGUGUAAAACAUUUUCAAAUAGUGAGGAGAGAAUGUCACUAUUUGUUUAUUUAAACUAUAGGAAGGCCUUAACUCAUGUGUUGAAUAUGAAUUACUGUUGUCAUGCUCUUCUGGGUUAAUAAUUUACUUGAGAAUAUACAUUUUGGACAGCAGGACGUUAGUUACAAGAGGAAAGGCUGGCUCUGGUGCUGCUUGUGAGACUGUUACCUGAUUCACAGUAUAGAGCUGAUCAGAACCGUACUGUGCUGGCUUGGAUGUUUCAUUUUCACAUGGUCCUUUCCAGCACAGUUCCAGCACUAUGUAGAUGCGUAAACAGGGCAGCCCAGUACAGCUCGGCUUGGCGCAGCUUGGCUCUAUAGUGUGAAUGAGGCAUAUGAGUCCAGAAACAAGAGCAGCAUUAAAUUCAGUAACCGUUCGCUCUCUGCCAUCCUCUUCUGUAAAACCAAAGAUAAACAAUAUGUUCCCAUUUUACAUACUGGUAAAAGGCAACACAGACUGACAUUAGAACUCUAUUUUUGAUACUUUGAAAUGGAUGUCAUUCCUAACGGUUGGGUGCAUAUAUCUAUAAAUAUAUGUUUUGUAAAAGGAAAGGGAAAUACAGGUUUGAGCUGAUGUUUACAGGAACCUUGUAUUGUACAUUUUGUAUUUUAAAACCAUUUUGUAAUUGAAGACUGCAGUGCUUUUUGAAUGUAUUCAAAGGGAAUACCUUGCAUUUAGGCUCUUACAGUAGUGUAUCAAUAAAAAUACAAAUGUCAAACUGUG
Long non-coding RNA from Oncorhynchus tshawytscha (Chinook salmon), 5840 nucleotides. Lineage: Eukaryota; Metazoa; Chordata; Actinopteri; Salmoniformes; Salmonidae. The record is from Ensembl.